CGCAUGGAAUACACCUGCGGGCCGCCCAGCUCGAAGGUUUCGCCCGGACGCGGGGUUUCGACAAGGGUGGUAAUGGCUUGGACCACG
Molecule: transfer RNA, 87 nt
Filed under: Pararhodospirillum photometricum DSM 122
Lineage: Bacteria; Pseudomonadati; Pseudomonadota; Alphaproteobacteria; Rhodospirillales; Rhodospirillaceae
Description: tRNA-Leu
Source: RNAcentral